GUGCUUUCUUCAACAGCACAGUCACUAAAAUUGGAAUCUUAUAGAGAUUAGAGUGGCCCCUGUGCAAGAAUGAUGUGCAAAUCCAUGCAGUAUUCCACAUUAAA
Cavia aperea (Brazilian guinea pig) is the source of this 104-nucleotide small nuclear RNA. Lineage: Eukaryota; Metazoa; Chordata; Mammalia; Rodentia; Caviidae. The record is from Ensembl.